GCCGAGGUAGCUCAGUUGGUAGAGCACGUGACUGAAAAUCACGGUGUCGGCAGUUCAAUUCUGCCCCUCGGCACCA
This 76-nucleotide transfer RNA is filed under the name Acidobacteria bacterium RIFCSPLOWO2_02_FULL_68_18. RNAcentral describes it as "tRNA-Phe". It matches the Rfam family "tRNA". Rfam says of the family: Transfer RNA (tRNA) molecules are approximately 80 nucleotides in length. Their secondary structure includes four short double-helical elements and three loops (D, anti-codon, and T loops). The record is from RNAcentral. RNAcentral also lists the same sequence under 4 other names. Lineage: Bacteria; Pseudomonadati; Acidobacteriota.